This is a long non-coding RNA of Gopherus flavomarginatus (Mexican gopher tortoise), 600 nucleotides long. RefSeq lists it as uncharacterized. The transcript has 3 exons. Lineage: Eukaryota; Metazoa; Chordata; Testudines; Testudinidae. The record is from RefSeq and is a predicted model, not a curated record.
AGGUCUUCACAGAGUGAAGCAGCCGAGAACCAGCCUGAAGCCUGGGAUGGAGAGGGCCACGGCCAAGAGAAGCAUUGAACCAGGGAGGAAUCACCUGAGAAGGCCAGACCAGAGCUGGACCUGGUAUCACUGCUGCCCAGAGCUAUAUGGGGCUAACUAGGAGGCUGGAGAGCAAAUGGAGACUGAAGAGUUAAAAAGCACUUCCUGAAGAGGAAAAGAGGAGUCGCUUGUGAGCAGCCAUCUAGGCAGACAGGCUGGCACAGACAAGGCUGUGUGGAGGAGUCUGAAGGAAUUGGGCCUCCUAGAUCCAGGGAGUGGUAAGCCUUAGGGAAGAAUUAAGGGAAUGGAAUUGCGUAAACCAGACCUGCUGAGGUGAUCACAAUUGAGACCCAGGGGACUGCAACCCAGCUCCUGGUCUGAGAGUGGAGAAUCAUGUCAUUCCAUCCCAAGAGAGGAGACAACGCAAGGCCUGAGACCUAAAAGGAUGUGCACUGAGAGACCAGAAAGGCUCAGAGGCACAGUUUACCUGGUAACUGUGAAAGCUUUAUGGGCAGUUUUUCAGCACUCGUCCUCCCUUGUCCUUUAUUAACAAUAAACACU